Molecule: long non-coding RNA, 539 nt
Filed under: Nicotiana benthamiana
Lineage: Eukaryota; Viridiplantae; Streptophyta; Magnoliopsida; Solanales; Solanaceae
Description: long non-coding RNA (NBEN_LNC012492)
Source: RNAcentral
UUGCAUAAUGUUUAAUCAGUUCAUGUGCUAGGAUAAUACUGUCAGCAAUCCUCCUACCAGGAAUAAAACCUUCCUGGGUAUCACAGAUGAUACUGGCUAUGCAUUUCUGUAAUAUAUUGGCCAAUAUCUUGGAGAUGAUUUUAUACAAAACUGAACAACAAGCUAUUGGUCGAAAUUCCUUGACUGAUUGUGGAUUAGCAACUUUAGGAAUCAAGGUGAGGGAGGCACAGUUAACUGGUUUAUACAUUCUACUGGUCAAGCUAUUGGUCGAAAUUCCUUGACUGAUUGUGGAUUAGCAACUUUAGGAAUCAAGGUGAGGGAGGCACAGUUAAUUGGUUUAUACAUUCUACUGGUCUGGAAGAAGUCCAUAACAGCCCUAGUGAUCUGAUUGCCAUUGAUACACCAUGUCUAUUUGAAAAAAGUAGCAUUGUAUCCAUCAAUACCUGGAGCUUUAUGAUCACCUAUGGCCUUUAAGCUGUCUACAAUUUCAUCCAAAGUAACAUCAGCAAUUAACUGUUGCAUCUGGUUGUGUGUGAGUU